GCGCUAGUAGCUCAGUCAGGAUAGAGCGCAUCCCUGCGGAGGAUGAGGCCGUGGGUUCGAGUCCCGCCUAGCGCGCCA
RNAcentral lists this transfer RNA (78 nucleotides) under Chloroflexota bacterium. RNAcentral's name for it is "Chloroflexi bacterium tRNA-Arg". It matches the Rfam family "tRNA". From Rfam's summary of the family: Transfer RNA (tRNA) molecules are approximately 80 nucleotides in length. Their secondary structure includes four short double-helical elements and three loops (D, anti-codon, and T loops). Further hydrogen bonds mediate the characteristic L-shaped molecular structure. tRNAs have two regions of fundamental functional importance: the anti-codon, which is responsible for specific mRNA codon recognition, and the 3' end, to which the tRNAs corresponding amino acid is attached (by aminoacyl-tRNA synthetases). tRNAs cope with the degeneracy of the genetic code in two manners: having more than one tRNA (with a specific anti-codon) for a particular amino acid; and 'wobble' base-pairing, i.e. permitting non-standard base-pairing at the 3rd anti-codon position. Lineage: Bacteria; Bacillati; Chloroflexota. The record is from RNAcentral.